CAGUGCCGGGUCUGCGCAGCCACAAGUCCCGGACGUCUUGGCCCCGGGAAUAAAUAAAGACAUAAACCAGCCCGGCUUUCUCCGGAGAAAUGAGGUCUGAUCAAUGGGCACAAUUUCUAAGCAGCGCAGUGGUGGAUGCUCGCAAACUUUUGCGCACCGCUGGAAACCCACUAGGUUGAGUUGCAAAACGUACCGCGUAGACGCCCCUGGUGGCGCCGAGAGAAGAGCUAGGCCUGCCCAGCACAGAGCCGGAGAGCGUCGGGCCUUCCGGAAGGGUCGACGAGAUGAGUUCCUACUUGACCUCUGAGCCGAGGUGGGCCGGAAACCGAGGCCUAGGCCCCGCCGGGGCUGCAAGGAAAAGGCGAAACUCCGAGCGUAGCGUCUUUUCCGUGUGGUUCCUUUCUCUGGCAUCCCGGACCGCGGGCCCUGCAGCCACCUGGACCGGCGUUCAAAGGAUUCUGCAAGUCCAGCUUCACAGACUGGCUUUCCCAGACGCUCCGAAGCCCGCACCACGAACAGAAUAAAGGAGAGACGAGAGAUCGCAACUAGAUUUGAGAAUCCUCGUUCUUUUCCCCAAUCGUUCGGGCAGUAAACUCCGGAGCCGGCUACAGCGCGCAUCCUCCCUUCCUCCUUUAGGAGGACUGUCGCUUUCCCGAAGCUGCUCCCAGCUGGGCUUUCUCCCGAAGUUUAUUUUUCUCAUUUUGCAAAAUUCCUGCCCUGAUUUUAAUACUGCAACAGGACAGCAGAGGUUCCUCUUUAAAAAGUCAAAACCCAAACCAAAGGGGCCCAUUGCUGUUGAUAAUUUUUUUCUUCACUUUCUCC
Molecule: non-coding RNA, 822 nt
Filed under: Pan troglodytes (chimpanzee)
Lineage: Eukaryota; Metazoa; Chordata; Mammalia; Primates; Hominidae
Source: RNAcentral